UGUAUGGAAUAUCUAUAUUCUAAUAUGAGAAAUUAAUGAUUUAAGUCCUUCUUAAAUGAGGCCAUUUACCCAUAGAGGGUGCCAGGCCCGUAUAACAUUAAUGAUUAUUAGAAGAUAUUUCCAAAGAGUCGUGUUGCUUGAUAGUGCAGCACUAAGUUGGUGGUAAACUCCAUCUAAAACUAAAUAUUACCAUGAGACCGAUAGUAAACAAGUACCGUGAGGGAAAGUUGAAAAGAACUCUGAAUAGAGAGUUAAAUAGUACGUGAAACUGCUUAGAGGUUAAACCCGAUGAACCUGAAUAUCCAAUAUAAAGAAUUCAUCAUUAAGACAAUAAUUAUUAUUAUUGAAUUAGUGUGCAUUUUCUUUAUAUACGGACAUUGUAAUCUAUUAAUAUUAAAAUACUUACCAAAAGAUCAAUUGCUUAUGUUUAUUUUAUAUAAUUUGCUUUGGCUUUUUAUUAAAAUAAUUGCUUUUGAUUUGAUAAGGUAUUGAUAGAUUAAUAUAUAUGUAUGAUGCAAAAAUUCAUUUAUGAAUUUUAUAAUAUAGUAAUAUAUUAUAGGCAUUUAUACGAUUUACAAUGCGAAAGAUUCAGGAAACCUUCGGGACCCGUCUUGAAACACGGACCAAGGAGUCUAACAUAUGUGCAAGUUAUUGGGAUUUUAUAUAAAACCCAAUAGCAUAAUUAACAUAAUUUAUUAAUGGGAUUAGUUAUAUAUUUAUUUAUAAAUAUAUUUACUCAAUCCCGGGGCGUUCUAUACAGUUAUGUAUAUUAGCAUUUAUGUUAUUUAUACCUCUAACUAGAGCGUACCUUGAGCAUAUAUGCUGUGACCCGAAAGAUGGUGAACUAUACUUGAUCAGGUUGAAGUCAGGGGAAACCCUGAUGGAAGACCGAAACAGUUCUGACGUGCAAAUCGAUUGUCAGAAUUGAGUAUAGGGGCGAAAGACCAAUCGAACCA
Molecule: ribosomal RNA, 956 nt
Filed under: Calycomyza lantanae
Lineage: Eukaryota; Metazoa; Arthropoda; Insecta; Diptera; Agromyzidae
Description: eukaryotic LSU rRNA
Rfam family: Eukaryotic large subunit ribosomal RNA
Source: RNAcentral